UGGGGAAUAUUGGACAAUGGGCGAAAGCCUGAUCCAGCCAUGCCGCGUGUGUGAAGAAGGUCUUCGGAUUGUAAAGCACUUUAAGUUGGGAGGAAGGGCAGUAAACGAAUACCUUGCUGUUUUGACGUUACCGACAGAAUAAGCACCGGCUAACUCUGUGCCAGCAGCCGCGGUAAUACAGAGGGUGCAAGCGUUAAUCGGAAUUACUGGGCGUAAAGCGCGCGGAGGUGGUUCGUUAAGUUGAAUGUGAAAGCCCCGGGCUCAACCUGGGAACUGCAUCCAAAACUGGCGAGCUAGAGUAGGGCAGAGGGUGGUGGAAUUUCCUGUGUAGCGGUGAAAUGCGUAGAUAUAGGAAGGAACACCAGUGGCGAAGGCGACCACCUGGGCUCAUACUGACACUGAGGUGCGAAAGCGUGGGGAGCAAACAGG
RNAcentral lists this ribosomal RNA (429 nucleotides) under Pseudomonadota bacterium. RNAcentral describes it as "Proteobacteria bacterium partial 16S ribosomal RNA". It matches the Rfam family "Bacterial small subunit ribosomal RNA", at positions 355 to 776 of the family's 1533-position model. Lineage: Bacteria; Pseudomonadati; Pseudomonadota. The record is from RNAcentral.